GUUAGGAAUCUUGCGCAAUGGGCGAAAGCCUGACGCAGCGACGCCUCGUGGGGGAUGAAGGCUCUCGGGUUGUAAACCCCUUUCGGCAGGAACGAAAUUGACGGUACCUGAAGAAGAAGCACCGGCCAACUACGUGCCAGCAGCCGCGGUAAUACGUAGGGUGCAAGCGUUGUCCGGAUUUAUUGGGCGUAAAGAGCUCGUAGGCGGCUUCGUAAGUCGGGUGUGAAACCUCCAGGCUUAACCUGGAGACGCCACCCGAUACUGCGAUAGCUAGAGUCUGGUAGGGGAUCACGGAAUUCCUGGUGUAGCGGUGAAAUGCGCAGAUAUCAGGAGGAACACCGAUGGCGAAGGCAGUGAUCUGGGCCAGUACUGACGCUGAGGAGCGAAAGCGUGGGGAGCAAACAGGAUUAGAAACCCGAGUAGUCC
RNAcentral lists this ribosomal RNA (426 nucleotides) under uncultured bacterium. RNAcentral describes it as "bacterial SSU rRNA". It matches the Rfam family "Bacterial small subunit ribosomal RNA", at positions 354 to 796 of the family's 1533-position model. The record is from RNAcentral.